RNAcentral lists this ribosomal RNA (509 nucleotides) under Lampetra planeri (European brook lamprey). Its description in RNAcentral is "partial large subunit ribosomal RNA". It matches the Rfam family "Bacterial large subunit ribosomal RNA", at positions 568 to 1221 of the family's 2925-position model. The record is from RNAcentral. Lineage: Eukaryota; Metazoa; Chordata; Hyperoartia; Petromyzontiformes; Petromyzontidae.
UGAAAAAGGGAUGAAACAGAUCAACUAAGUAAAGUAAAGCAAAGAUAAAAUCUUGUACCUUUUGCAUCAUGGCUUAGCAAGUAAACCCGAAAAUACUGCCGCCUCCCCGAAACUAGACGAGCUACCCUGGGAUUACCUAUAAGAGUUAAUCCGUAUCUGUGGCAAAAGAUUGGAAAAAGCCCUGGGUAGAGGUGAAAAGCCUACCGAGCCUAGUGAUAGCUGGUUACUUAAGAAACAAGUUUAAGCUUGAUCUUAAUUUGUAGAUAAGCAACAAAAUUACUUAUAAAUUUAAACAUCUUACUACUCUACAUUUUAAGUUUUAUUCACUAGGGGUACAGCCCUAGUGAACAGAGAUACAGCUCUAUUGAUUAGAUAAUAUCCAACUUAUAAACUUAAGUAGGCCUAAAAGCAGCCACCAAGAAGAAAAGCGUUACAGCUUAAGUUUACUAAACUUUAAAUACCAUAAUAUAUAAAGACCCUAUAACCACUAUUAAGUAAUCCUAUAUAAU